CUGGACCUCCCCCCACAAACAUACUGGCCACCCAUCCUGCUGUGUUAACAGUCAAGGUUAACUGCCACUGUUCUCAGCAACCAAGUAGUGGGCCUUCCUGCUCCUUCUGCCUCUAGAGGCUAAAUCACCAAGCAUGCAAUCCUGCAACUGUCCCCUGAUAACAGCUCCAAGGUGGACAACCCAGACCUCCUCACCCCUGACCCUCCACCUCAGAAAUUCAGCCCUAGACUCUGUUAGAGAAUGGAGAAAUGUGAACCUGAAUCUAAAAAUGAAAGCCCAGAAGAAAGCCUAACUGCUCAUGGGAAUGGAACAGCCUGCGAAGCACUGUCUUCCCUGUGAAGAAAUAGGAUCACAAGACUGUUGUAUUAUUUUUUACAUUAACAAUUAUAGAAUUAAAAUAAACUUUCUGUUCUGUUAUUUGAAG
This 424-nucleotide long non-coding RNA is filed under the name Vulpes vulpes (red fox). RNAcentral's name for it is "lncRNA (ENSVVUG00000026445.1)". Lineage: Eukaryota; Metazoa; Chordata; Mammalia; Carnivora; Canidae. The record is from RNAcentral.